RNAcentral lists this ribosomal RNA (301 nucleotides) under uncultured bacterium. RNAcentral describes it as "partial 16S ribosomal RNA". It matches the Rfam family "Bacterial small subunit ribosomal RNA", at positions 509 to 807 of the family's 1533-position model. The record is from RNAcentral.
CAGUAGCCGCGGUAAUACGUAGGUGGCAAGCGUUGUCCGGAAUUAUUGGGCGUAAAGGGCUCGCAGGCGGUUUCUUAAGUCUGAUGUGAAAGCCCCCGGCUCAACCGGGGAGGGUCAUUGGAAACUGGGAGACUUGAGUGCAGAAGAGGAGAGUGGAAUUCCACGUGUAGCGGUGAAAUGCGUAGAGAUGUGGAGGAACACCAGUGGCGAAGGCGACUCUCUGGUCUGUAACUGACGCUGAGGAGCGAAAGCGUGGGGAGCGAACAGGAUUAGAUACCCCAGUAGUCCCUGUCUCUUAUAC